Molecule: ribosomal RNA, 320 nt
Filed under: uncultured eukaryote
Lineage: Eukaryota
Description: partial 18S ribosomal RNA
Rfam family: Eukaryotic small subunit ribosomal RNA
Source: RNAcentral
CCCUUAGAUGUUCUGGGCUGCACGCGUGUUACAAUCGGGAGUACAACAAGAUUGCAAAUCCUAGUGGAUGAGUGGUUCUUCGAAAUUUUCUGAAGACUGGGAUAGUUGAUUGAAAUUAUUCAACUCGAACGAGGAAUUCCUUGUAACUGUAAUUCAUUAUAUUGUAAUGAAUACGUCCCUGCCCUUUGUACACACCGCCCGUCGCUCCUACCGAUUGAACGAUCCGGUGAAUUAUUUGGAGUAGCUCUGGAAGUUGCAGAACUUCCUAUGUCACGAAAUUUUGUAAACCUUAUCGUUUAGAGGAAGGAAAAGUCGUAACA